This 581-nucleotide ribosomal RNA is filed under the name uncultured bacterium. RNAcentral describes it as "bacterial SSU rRNA". It matches the Rfam family "Bacterial small subunit ribosomal RNA", at positions 102 to 679 of the family's 1533-position model. The record is from RNAcentral.
ACGGGUGAGUAAUGUCUGGGGAUCUGCCCGAUAGAGGGGGAUAACCACUGGAAACGGUGGCUAAUACCGCAUAACGUCGCAAGACCAAAGAGGGGGACCUUCGGGCCUCUCACUAUCGGAUGAACCCAGAUGGGAUUAGCUAGUAGGCGGGGUAAUGGCCCACCUAGGCGACGAUCCCUAGCUGGUCUGAGAGGAUGACCAGCCACACUGGAACUGAGACACGGUCCAGACUCCUACGGGAGGCAGCAGUGGGGAAUAUUGCACAAUGGGCGCAAGCCUGAUGCAGCCAUGCCGCGUGUAUGAAGAAGGCCUUCGGGUUGUAAAGUACUUUCAGCGGGGAGGAAGGCGAUGUGGUUAAUAACCGCGUCGAUUGACGUUACCCGCAGAAGAAGCACCGGCUAACUCCGUGCCAGCAGCCGCGGUAAUACGGAGGGUGCAAGCGUUAAUCGGAAUUACUGGGCGUAAAGCGCACGCAGGCGGUCUGUUAAGUCAGAUGUGAAAUCCCCGGGCUUAACCUGGGAACUGCAUUUGAAACUGGCAGGCUUGAGUCUUGUAGAGGGGGGUAGAAUUCCAGGUGUAGC